UACGAAGGGGGCUAGCGUUGUUCGGAAUUACUGGGCGUAAAGGGCGCGUAGGCGGUGUGUCAAGUCAGGCGUGAAAGCCCCGGGCUCAACCUGGGAACCGCGCUUGAGACUGGCACGCUCGAGUUCGGGAGAGGAUGGUGGAAUUCCCAGUGUAGAGGUGAAAUUCGUAGAUAUUGGGAAGAACACCGAUGGCGAAGGCAGCCAUCUGGACCGACACUGACGCUGAGGCACGAAAGCGUGGGGAGCAAACAGG
This 253-nucleotide ribosomal RNA is filed under the name uncultured bacterium. RNAcentral describes it as "partial 16S ribosomal RNA". It matches the Rfam family "Bacterial small subunit ribosomal RNA", at positions 524 to 776 of the family's 1533-position model. The record is from RNAcentral.